RNAcentral lists this ribosomal RNA (212 nucleotides) under uncultured fungus. RNAcentral describes it as "partial 18S ribosomal RNA". Lineage: Eukaryota; Fungi. The record is from RNAcentral.
GUUUUGCCUACCACAGUGAGCUCCGGCUUGCUAGUCUCCCCUGGAGGCGACACACUCAACGUGCGGAAAGGCCCUCCCUGGAGGGAAAUCCGCAGCCCCUACCCGGGGUUCAGAGACUCAAUGAGUGUGGGUGUGGCCUAGCCGCACUUAAGAUAGAGCCCGUCCCGGCUGGCAACUGCCGGGAGUCAGCGGAACCUGCGGAAGGAUCAUUA